Cucumis melo (muskmelon) is the source of this 858-nucleotide long non-coding RNA. RefSeq lists it as uncharacterized. The transcript has 2 exons. The record is from RefSeq and is a predicted model, not a curated record. NCBI's taxonomy places the organism in Eukaryota, Viridiplantae, Streptophyta, Magnoliopsida, Cucurbitales, Cucurbitaceae.
CAAAACCACAUUUUCCAUGUCCACGUUUUGGCCCAUUUUUCAUUUCCACGAAAAUACUAACCUUUACCACGGCAGAGCCACGAACGACGAAUGAUAAAAAAUGAUGACAGCCACGAACAACUGGUGAUAUUUGGCGAUGACCGACGUCUAACGGUGACCCACAACGCGAACAGAUCAGUAACACUCGAAUGGCUACGCGCGAACGGCUCCACCCUAACAUUUGACGAUGACCCACUUCAACGAGGCUUAUGAACAGUGGUAAUGGCUUACCUGUUUUUGAUUUCAAGACAUUGCGCACAGCUGACCCUUUUAUUGCUGAUCUGUUUUAUAUAGGUUGUUCAAAUGUGUCCUUAAGUUCUAAGGUUCCACGACCAUAAGAAAGCUCAAACAUGAAGAAGUCAAAGAUUUUGCUUGUCCUUUUUGAAUGAAUGACCUAUAAGUAAUUGUAGGCUCCAUAAGACAAUGGAGUGUAUCCAUUCGACACUAGGUGGAGGUGGCAAGAAAAAAGAAAGCAAAAAGAAUAGCGGGAUGGACUAUGAACAGACCAUCAGUCCUGGACACAUACCAAUCUUGGCUAAAAGAUGUCUUGGAUCUGAUCACUAGAAGAAGGAGAAACAGAAAGGUUCUUAGUCUUCAAUAUGUAGUUCUCAUUCUUUUUCUUUUUUCUAAUAUUCUAUGUUAGUAGAUUUAGAUAAUGAGCACACUUUUGAAUUAUUUCAUUUAUUAUCUUGAAAAUUUUACUCGUAAGUUGAGAUUAUGAAUUAGUUUUAGCUUAUCGGGAGGCAUUUGUUUGAUUUAGACUUGAAGUUCUUACUUUCAGGCAUGUUAUAAUUGAUUGAUUUUGAUGUUAUUGUCGAA